GGAAGGAGAAGUCGUAACAAGGUUUUCCGUAGUUGAACCUGCGGAAGGAUCAUUG
Molecule: ribosomal RNA, 55 nt
Filed under: Krameria ixine
Lineage: Eukaryota; Viridiplantae; Streptophyta; Magnoliopsida; Zygophyllales; Krameriaceae
Description: partial 18S ribosomal RNA
Rfam family: Eukaryotic small subunit ribosomal RNA
Source: RNAcentral